CCUACGGGAGGCAGCAGUAGGGAAUCUUCCACAAUGGGCGAAAGCCUGAUGGAGCAACGCCGCGUGGGUGAAGAAGGUCUUCGGAUAGUAAAACCCUGUUGUUAGAGAAGAAAGUGCGUGAGAGUAACUGUUCACGUAUCGACGGUAUCGAACCAGAAAGCCACGGCUAACUACGUGCCAGCAGCCGCGGUAAUACGUAGGUGGCAAGCGUUAUCCGGCUUUAUUGGGCGUAAAGGGAACGCAGGCGGUCUUUUAAGUCUGAUGUGAAAGCCUUCGGCUUAACCGGAGUAGUGCAUUGGAAACUGGGAGACUUGAGUGCAGCAGAGGAGAGUGGCACUCCAUGUGUAGCGGUUAAAUGCGUAGAUAUAUGGAAGAACACCAGUGGCGAACGCGGCUCUCUGGUCUGUAACUGACGCUGAGGUUCGAAAGCGUGGGUAGCAAACAGGAUUAGAUACCCCUGUAGUC
Molecule: ribosomal RNA, 465 nt
Filed under: uncultured bacterium
Lineage: Bacteria
Description: partial 16S ribosomal RNA
Rfam family: Bacterial small subunit ribosomal RNA
Source: RNAcentral